GCUGCGUUUCAGUGUGAUAAGUAUCUUCACUGAUAAAAGUUCCUUUGGGACACGAUUGCAAAGUGGGCUCUGCGCUUCCAACUGUCUGUUAAUGGACAAUACUUGACAAUUUGGCCUCAAAUCGGGUGGGACUACCCGCUGAACUUAAGCAUAUCAAUAAGCGGAGGAAAAGAAACUAACAAGGAUUCCCCUAGUAACGGCGAGUGAAGAGGGAAAAGCUCAAAUUUUGAAUCUGUCGUCUUUGGCGAUCGAGUUGUAAUCUAGAGAAGUGUUUUCUGCCUUGGACCACACAUAAAUUCCCUGGAAUGGGGUGUCAAAGAGGGUGAGAAUCCCGUUUGUGGUGUGGACU
Molecule: ribosomal RNA, 349 nt
Filed under: uncultured Sebacinales
Lineage: Eukaryota; Fungi; Basidiomycota; Agaricomycetes; Sebacinales
Description: eukaryotic LSU rRNA
Rfam family: Eukaryotic large subunit ribosomal RNA (bases 112-349)
Source: RNAcentral